Magnolia sinica is the source of this 1514-nucleotide long non-coding RNA. RefSeq lists it as uncharacterized. The record is from RefSeq and is a predicted model, not a curated record. Lineage: Eukaryota; Viridiplantae; Streptophyta; Magnoliopsida; Magnoliales; Magnoliaceae. The transcript is spliced from 4 exons.
CUCUCUCUCUCUCUCUCUCUCUCUCUCUCUCUCUCUCUCCCCCAUUCUGCCAAGCAAGAGCUCUCUCUCAAUCGGGCGGCGAAGAAACCUCCAUACGUGGCACAAUCACUCUCGAUUUCCCUCUCUUAGCAUUGAUUCUGAUUGGAAGUUUGUUACUGGAUUUUAGGAAGGAAUUGGAAUUUUGUAGAGAUUAUUUUACACUCUUUUCAGGUGAUUACGCUAUAGUACCGGGCACUAGAAAUCCUCCUUGGAUCCUAACAUUACUCCUGUUGAUGUGUGGUAAGUGGCACUACACCAAAAUCAUUAAUUAGGAACAACUACUAUUUUUUUUUUUCUGCGGAACUGUGAUUUAUGUGCGUCCACUUCCUGCUUAUAGAGUUUUCUAUCUUUUUGUCGGUCUUUUCUUUCUUCCUUGAAGAUAUUGAUCAUGGCCUUUGUGUUUGGGCAGCUAGAAAAGCGAGAAGCUGUAAGGAGACUGUAGGAUUUGUGGAAUGGGAUUGAAAUAUAGCCAUAGUUGUAUGUAUUGUCAUCUAGAAAAAGAAAAAGAUCAACAAAAUGAGACUAGACCAAAAUGAAACAACAACAACUGGCCAAACACUUUACUGCACUUUUGUGUGGCCACUCUGAAUCAGUGGGUCACCUGGUAGAGGCAUCUGUACAAUUAUUUGUGACAGAUCACUGUAGUUGGCUUGAAAGAUGCAUUUGCUUGAUUAUGUUUUGGGGAAUUUCUUUUCUUCAUGUCUUUUCUUUCCCCUGUUUUUGUAUAGACUCAUAGACAAGAUUUGACUGGUGUUUUUAUUAAUAGAGGAGUCAAUCUAGACCCAUUAAGCAAGUGAUCAAGGGUUGGACUGGUUGUGUAUGAUUCACAAGUUCCAAUUGGUGCCACUCUUGAAUACAUAGAUGGGCACUACAUGGUAAAUCUCCUUCUAUUAAUAUACAUGCCAAGCUUUUAUUUAGGGAAAAAGAUAUCUACAGCUUAGUGCAUGCUUGGAUUUUAAUUCGAGCUUGGUAAUGUGGAAUCUAUUUACAUUUUAUGCCUAUGAAAUUUGUAAUUGAAUGUGUUCACAGUUACAAAAGCGACAGGUCUUUCUUUCCAGUUAUGGUGCUUGCUCCUCAGGAGGAACGAAUUGUGGAUAUGGCCCAAGUACUUUCAGGCUCUUGUAACUGAAAGCUCUAUGAGGCCCACCGCGAUGUCCAUAUGACAUCAACUCUAUCCAUCAGUUUCAUUGCAUCCUUUUUUAAUGUGAAACAAAAAGUGAGGCGGAUAAAAUACUCAAGUUGCCACACCAUGAGAAAUAGUAUGGAAUGCUAGCCCAUAUGGAAAUGCUGGUUAUUCCAGUGGAAUUGUAUAAUAUUUCCUUGAAUUUGUUUCUUAUGGGUUUUCCUUUCACGUUGUAGAGAAAGAUUUAGAUUUAGGUUCUGACUUGUAUUCGGAUGGAUCAGAUAUCUUAGAGCAAUUGAUAAGAAAAAGGCAAGAGAACUAAAAGAUACAGAGGUAGAAUUGCAGCUCAAUA